This 1720-nucleotide unclassified non-coding RNA is filed under the name Yarrowia lipolytica. Lineage: Eukaryota; Fungi; Ascomycota; Dipodascomycetes; Dipodascales. The record is from RNAcentral.
CCACUAUGGUGAUGAGAGAAGACGGAGAAGAGAACGAAGAAGAAGGAUGGAGUCUGACGGGUAAAGAGGGAGAAGGGGCUCCCAUGCCCCUGUAAAGCAGCUCAAACUGAUGGAUAUCAAACACACCCUGACGAAAAAGUAUGGAAUCGGAGGCAAGGGCGACAAAAAGACGCUCUACUACAAUCUCUCCUUGAUUCAGUGGCCGUGUUUCUGCCGGCUGGCUCUUCUACCACAACCAGUCCGUCAAGAUUCCCUGCUCUUCAAGGAGCGGAAACGGUAUUCAACAAUCAUAAGAGAAUGUAUCGGGGCCGUCUCUGGAUUUGAAGCUCAAGGACACUGGUGGGAGACAAGCUCGAGUAGGUGACGCCACUUGCUAAGAUGCUCAAGGGAUCCGAGAUGGUCUGCUUUUGUCAACCACACCGAGUACAAGGUGUCCCCACGUGGACGGAAAGAAUGCUCUACAGGUGGCCUGAUAAUUUUCAGCCAGCGCCUUGCCCAGGAUUGCUGAAUCUAUCAAGGAGGUGGCACCUAGCAUAGAUCUCCCAGGUUGUUGGAUCGAGAGAACACGAGGACGUCUUCAACAACGAACUGGAGUUUUCUGUUCUGCGCAAGUUGACUCUCAAAAGCCUGGCGUGGUGGAAGAAGAGGAGAGCUCGUCAACGGACUGCUGCCACUGCGAAAAGCAGACGAUGGGACCUAAGCAAAGGAAUAAGGAGGAUAAUGUCUCUUGUUACGACUCAGACGAGUCAGACUAUUUUGUAGAUGUUGAUUCUGGUGGUAACCAGGAUCUCUACGAGGAGGGUGUGAUUGAAGAUGAGAAUGAAGUCAUGGUCUUCACUCCAGAGCUACCUUUCGAUACCACCAUGUUCAGGGUACGAACCAACCUCGGUCGUUUCGCUUCGUCCCUUACUGACCGAAAACUCCCCAACCGCAAAGCGGACAGCAGGAAGUGUCCCAUUGACACAUGUCGAGAGGUGCCGCAACCAGUUGAGUGAUGGUACCGCACGAGGAGUUUUAGAGCAUGUGUCUUCAUUAGAUGCUGAAGAAGCACAGCCACCAAAGUCGCUAGUGGCCGCUACCAAAACCAGGCAAGUUGAUGCAACAACGGAGUCAACCAGUAAGUGCAGUUUAUCCAGUCACUACGGUUCAGCCAGAUGAAAAUUCAGUUAUCGUCAUUGACUCCAAUGAGAACACACACAAUCUCUGGUGAAUAGCUCAAUCUAGAACUCGAUGGCCAACAGGACUAGUGUUGACGAACAGACUCCGCUCAGCCCCUCGUUCCAGCCUCGCACGGGUCCGUUUGUUCAACCUCCUUGGUGAACCCUGUCGACCAAAACAUGAUGUCCUGGAAAACUCCAUCGGUCAACGAGAUGCGCGAAAUGGCAACUCGACAUGGCCUACAUCUUCUUACCCGACAGGAUAUGCCCUCUCUGUAGAUCCUCUCUCUUGAGUAGAUUUAUGACAUGGCGGCCCGACAUGGUCUGCAUGUGCUUAAUACAGAGGAGAUGCACAGGUUGACGGCCCAGAGUAGACCCCGUAUAUGCGGUACGUCGAGGUGGCCAUUGUGCACACCUCAUCCAGUGACUUCUAUCAUGCAUUCGUCUUCCACUUGUAGCAUCGUCUUCCACUUGUAGCAUACAACCUCCAGUUUCGAACGUUUCGCACCCAUCUCCAUACAACCUCCAUCUUCUAGCGUUUCGCGCCGACCUCUUCGAGAGGU